Molecule: non-coding RNA, 551 nt
Organism: Ceratotherium simum simum (southern white rhinoceros)
Lineage: Eukaryota; Metazoa; Chordata; Mammalia; Perissodactyla; Rhinocerotidae
Source: the annotation of a RefSeq genome assembly
CCUGUCAGGUGGCAGGCAGAACAAGAGCCAUUUCACCAGUGGGAAGAGCCCCAAGGAUGCAGCCCGGACCGCUUGCUCUCUUGUGCACAGUCUUGGCCUUCGUCUGCUUUGGUUCCAGCAAUACCCAGACGGUCAUUCAACCUACAAGUGUGGUGUAUAGGCAAGAGGGAGACUCUGUGACCUUGGACUGCAAAAUCACAGUCAGUUAUGCUUACUAUGUGAUGUACUGGUAUCAACAGCUUUCCACUGGAGAGAUGACUUACAUCAUUCGAAUAUAUUCUACAAGCAGGAACUCAAGGGAAGGACGAUAUUCUGUGGUGUUUCAGAAACCAACCCUAAAGCUCACCAUCUCAGCCUUGACGUCUAGAGACUCAGCUGUCUAUUUCUGUGCUGUUGUAGAAGUAUCGCACGGCAUUGUUUACCACAUAUCUUUCAAAUGCCUGAAUCAUUUCACCUACAAUGGAAUUCUCUUCCACCAGGUCUUCCUCACACCAUACCCAUCAGUGAAAUCUUCAGCAGUUGGGCCUCCAUCUUGUGCAAGCGACUGUUGA